GCAUAUCAAUAAGCGGAGGAAAGAAAAWUACAUGAUUCCCCUAGUAACGGCGAGUGAAGAGGGAAAAGCUCAAAGUUGGAACCUGGUAGGCAUAGCUUACCCGGAUUGUAAACUAAAGUUUUCGAGUCGUUUAGUCAGCCAGGUAAAUAAGUCCCUCUGGAAAGGGGCGACAUAGAGGGUGAAAUCCCCGUCUUUGGCCUGAGUUUUGAUUAGGCGUUKGGCUUGGAAACGAAGAGUCAGGUUGUUUGGGAAUGCAGCCUAAAAUGGGAGGUAAAUCUCUCCUAAAGCUAAAUAUUGACGAAAGACCGAUAGCGAACAAGUACCGUGAGGGAAAGAUGAAAAGCACUUUGAAAAGAGGGUCAAAAAGUACGUGAAAUUGCUGAAAGGGAACCGUAUGAAAUCAGAUCUACUGGUAGGUAAUCAAUCUUUCCUUUGGGAAGGAUGCACUUGCCUACUAUGUAUGCCAGCGACAUUUUGGUUGGGAGGAAAAAAAUAAAGGAAAUGUAGCUUAGGUUUCGGCUUAGGUGUUAUAGUCCUUUAUAAAAUACUCUCGGCUGGAAUGAGGAACGCAGCAAACCGUAAGGCGAAGAUUUCAGGCGCUUAGAGGGAAUAAUUAGAGAAUUUCUGCUUCGGGUGGUGCUUUGAUUAUUACCUUUAACACGCUUGGAGUUCUUUUAAUUUGCUUAGGUUGUUGGCUUAAUGAUUUUAUAUGACCCGUCUUGAAACACGGACCAAGGAGUCCACCAUAGGCGCGAGUCUUUGGGUGUAAAAACCCAUGGGCGGAAGGAAAUUGACUAAGAUACCAAGGCGCAAGCUGGCAGUAUCCCCCGGCGUAGACGUUUUUAUACUGAAAUGACUGAGGGCAAGCGCUUAUGAUGGGACCCGAAAGAUGGUGAACUAUACUUGAAUAGGGUAAAGCCAGAGGAAACUCUGGUGGAAGCUCACGAUUCUGACGUGCAAAUCGAUCGUCAAAUUUGAGUAUAGGGGCGAAAGAC
This 995-nucleotide ribosomal RNA is filed under the name Cunninghamella bertholletiae. RNAcentral's name for it is "LSU rRNA". It matches the Rfam family "Eukaryotic large subunit ribosomal RNA", at positions 38 to 931 of the family's 3401-position model. The record is from RNAcentral. Lineage: Eukaryota; Fungi; Mucoromycota; Mucoromycetes; Mucorales; Cunninghamellaceae.